Molecule: unclassified non-coding RNA, 211 nt
Filed under: Hevea brasiliensis (rubber tree)
Lineage: Eukaryota; Viridiplantae; Streptophyta; Magnoliopsida; Malpighiales; Euphorbiaceae
Source: RNAcentral
GUGAAUUGCUGCAUUCUUUUCACAAAGUCCUUUUUGUUGAAUGGUCGUUCUUUAUAACAUCCAUGAGACCUUUUCUCCUCAAAAUCCUCUGCUCGUACUGAAAAUGCUUUUGAGGGGGGUGAAAAGGUGCCAAUGCCUUGACGGGAAGCAUGAGAAGUCAAUGCGUCUUGCCCAUUUAGACUUUUGCUAGAUGCCCCAAAGAACGAGUAAA